Molecule: ribosomal RNA, 253 nt
Filed under: uncultured bacterium
Lineage: Bacteria
Description: partial 16S ribosomal RNA
Rfam family: Bacterial small subunit ribosomal RNA
Source: RNAcentral
UACGGAGGGUGCGAACGUUAAUCGGAAUUACUGGGCGUAAAGCGCGCGUAGGUGGUUUGUUAAGUUGGAUGUGAAAGCCCCGGGCUCAACCUGGGAACUGCAUUCAAAACUGACAAGCUAGAGUAUGGUAGAGGGUGGUGGAAUUUCCUGUGUAGCGGUGAAAUGCGUAGAUAUAGGAAGGAACACCAGUGGCGAAGGCGACCACCUGGACUGAUACUGACGCUGAGACGCGAAAGCGUGGGGAGCAAACAGG